UAUUAACCCCAAUCCUCCAGAGAAUUAAAGUUUAGAGUGAAGCUGCUUCUUCUUCUUCUCCAAUGCCUGAGAGUAGAUACCAGAGAUGGAGUCACCGUCACGGAGAGAGGUAGAGAGCAGAUCGGUAGAGCUUCUUCUUCUCCGACGACUGACAAAACCCGCCAUCCUCUAUCAGAGAGUAGAUUUUCUUCUUCUUCUUCUUCUCCUCCUCCGUCGAGCCCGCCGCCGCGCCAUCCUCUUCAUCUCAAGUGACUGUACACAUGAAAGCAGUGUUAACAAGGCACCUUCAGUAAGCUGUUUUGACUAAGAGUUUGUAUCUCCUUUGAAAGCUACUAUGAGGAACAGAAUGUUGAAAGAUUUCAACUCGGCAAUGGGACCAUUCAACUUAUCGCCUCUUAAGACCAGUAUUUUCAAAUUUAAUAGAUUUUGAAGCCAAUUGGGAAAUGUAUCCUCAAAUUGAUUGUUUCCAAGAUUCAAAUCCACAAGCUGUGUGCAAUUGGACAAAGAUUUCGGCAAUAAACCUUCAAACUGGUUGCCAUUGAGAUUCACUUAUUGAUGGUAUUUUAUCAUUUACUAUUAUUGGCAACUAAGAAGUUUGGGGUUAAUGAAUUUGUGAACCCAAAAGAUCAUAACAAACCUAUACAAGAGGUUAGUUCAUUCUAAGUUUUCCUGCAUAAUUAUUUAUAUUUUCAAGGAAGAAAGACUAAGAUGUUAAUAUUGCUCAAAAGAUAAUUGCUGAAAUGACCAUGAGAGAAUUCUCAGCCAUUGCAAAAGAAAAUUAAGAUGCAUGUCUGAACUAUGAAUUAUAGAGUAUGUUCUUCCUUCUUACAUAACUUAUGAUUAGGCCCCCUUCACAUGUUAUUUGUUCAAAGCAUGCUUUUUACAUGUUCAAAGUAUAUAUGGCUCUGCUAAUUUUGUUGAAAA
This is a non-coding RNA of Arachis ipaensis, 924 nucleotides long. Lineage: Eukaryota; Viridiplantae; Streptophyta; Magnoliopsida; Fabales; Fabaceae. The record is from RefSeq and is a predicted model, not a curated record.